CAGCACCUCAAGUGGUCAGGAUGAUUAUUGGGCCUAAAGCAUCCGUAGCCGGCGCUGUAAGUUUUCGGUUAAAUCUGUACGCUCAACGUACAGGCUGCCGGGAAUACUGCAGCGCUAGGGAGUGGGAGAGGUAGACGGCACUCGGUAGGAAGGGGUAAAAUCCUUUGAUCUAUUGAUGACCACCUGUGGCGAAGGCGGUCUACCAGAACACGUCCGACGGUGAGGGAUGAAAGCUGGGGGAGCAAACCGGAUUAGAUACCCGAGUAGUCC
Molecule: ribosomal RNA, 270 nt
Filed under: uncultured archaeon
Lineage: Archaea
Description: partial 16S ribosomal RNA
Rfam family: Archaeal small subunit ribosomal RNA
Source: RNAcentral